UGCCGGUCCCCUCGCAACACAAAGCCGUGAACCCGGUCAGGCCCGGAAGGGAGCAGCCGCAGCGGUGGUCGUGUGUGCCGAGAUGUGGCUGGCAGGG
Molecule: signal recognition particle RNA, 97 nt
Filed under: Thiohalocapsa marina
Lineage: Bacteria; Pseudomonadati; Pseudomonadota; Gammaproteobacteria; Chromatiales; Chromatiaceae
Description: Bacterial small signal recognition particle RNA
Rfam family: Bacterial small signal recognition particle RNA
About the family: The signal recognition particle (SRP) is a universally conserved ribonucleoprotein involved in the co-translational targeting of proteins to membranes.
Source: Rfam by way of RNAcentral